AGCUUCCGAAUCGGAAUUGGUUCCGCCGCGAGGCGGAUGAAAAGGGAACACGGUGAGGCCGAGCAAUCGGACGAAGCCGCGACUGCCCCCGCAACUGUAACCGUUGAGCCUUCUUCCACGAUGCCACUGGCGCUGACGCGACCGGGAAGGCGGAAGAGAGCGAUGACACGGAAGUCAGGAGACCUGCCUGUUCCGGUCACCCAUG
Molecule: non-coding RNA, 205 nt
Filed under: Mesorhizobium hungaricum
Lineage: Bacteria; Pseudomonadati; Pseudomonadota; Alphaproteobacteria; Hyphomicrobiales; Phyllobacteriaceae
Also listed under: 1 other name
Source: RNAcentral